Molecule: non-coding RNA, 72 nt
Filed under: uncultured Agathobacter sp.
Lineage: Bacteria; Bacillati; Bacillota; Clostridia; Lachnospirales; Lachnospiraceae
Description: Cyclic di-GMP-I riboswitch
Rfam family: c-di-GMP-I riboswitch aptamer
About the family: GEMM was predicted in a large-scale screen for bacterial structured RNA regulatory elements. Genes associated with GEMM are involved in a diverse array of functions, including chemotaxis regulation, signal transduction, secretion and chitin.
Source: RNAcentral
UUGAAAAGGCAAAGCAGUUGAAAAAUUGUGACGCAAAGCUAUAGGGUCUGUAAAAUGACAGCCAGUUACCAA